UGUUACAAAUUUCAUCAAUUUGUACUGUUAAAAACUGACUUGAUUGACGAAAUAACUAGGCAGUAACUCGUGGCCAUGCUAAUGUACGGAGACCAGUUUUUAAUAGAAAAAAUGGAUGGGAUUUUAAGA
This 129-nucleotide microRNA precursor is filed under the name Gossypium hirsutum (cotton). RNAcentral's name for it is "MIR7502 microRNA precursor family". It matches the Rfam family "MIR7502 microRNA precursor family". The record is from Rfam by way of RNAcentral. Lineage: Eukaryota; Viridiplantae; Streptophyta; Magnoliopsida; Malvales; Malvaceae.